CUCCGGUUGAUCCUGCCGGACCUGACUGCUAUCGGAUUGGUACUAAGCCAUGCGAGUCGUUGUAGCAAUACAAGGCGGACGGCUCAGUAACACGUAGUCAACCUAACCUAUGGACGUGGAUAACCUCGGGAAACUGAGAAUAAACCGCGAUAGAUCAUUAUGCCUGGAAUGGCUUAUGGUUCAAACAAUUUAUUGCCGUAGGAUGGGACUGCGGCCUAUCAGCUUGUUGGUGAGGUAAUGGCCCACCAAGGCUAUAACAGGUACGGGCUCUGAGAGGAGAAGCCCGGAGAUGGGUACUGAGACACGGACCCAGGCCCUAUGGGGCGCAGCAGGCGAGAAACCUUAGCAAUGUGCGAAAGCACGACUAGGUUAAUCCGAGUGAUUUCUGUUGAAGAAAUCUUUUGUCAGUCGUAAAACCACAGACGAAUAAGGGGUGGGCAAGUCUGGUGUCAGCCGCCGCGGUAAUACCAGCACCUCGAGUGGUCAGGAGGUUUAUUGGGCCUAAAGCAUCCGUAGCCGGCUACGCAAGUCUCCGGUUAAAUCCAGCUGCUCAACAGAUGGGCUGCCGGAGAUACUACAUAGCUAGGGAGCGGGAGAGGUAGACGGUAUUCUGUGGGUAGGGGUAAAAUCCACUGAUCCAUAGAGGACCACCAGUGGCGAAGGCGGUCUACCAGAACGCGUUCGACGGUGAGGGAUGAAAGCUGGGGGAGCAAACCGGAUUAGAUACCCGGGUAGUCCCAGCUGUAAACGAUGCAAACUCGGUGAUGCAUUGGCUUAUGGCCAAUGCAGUGCCGCAGGGAAGCCGUUAAGUUUGACGCCUGCGAAGUACGGACGCAAGUCUGAAACUUAAAGGAAUUGGCGGGGGGAGCC
This 870-nucleotide ribosomal RNA is filed under the name uncultured archaeon. RNAcentral describes it as "bacterial SSU rRNA". It matches the Rfam family "Archaeal small subunit ribosomal RNA", at positions 1 to 879 of the family's 1478-position model. The record is from RNAcentral.